CUUACUUGUUGGCAGCCAUUGAAUACGCAGUAGUGCUUACCGAACAUCUGAAUGAAUUCUACCUCAGCCAGAGGAAUUUCAGCAAGGCACUGUAUAAAAUCUGGAGAUAUGUGCUUAUCUGUGCGUUCAAACUCACCUGCAUUGAUGCAGUCAGGUGUAAUCAGAUUUUUCAGGAUUCAAAGAUCAGAUGAUUGGCUAUAACUCCUCUGA
Erpetoichthys calabaricus (reedfish) is the source of this 210-nucleotide long non-coding RNA. RefSeq lists it as uncharacterized. NCBI's taxonomy places the organism in Eukaryota, Metazoa, Chordata, Cladistia, Polypteriformes, Polypteridae. The transcript is spliced from 3 exons. The record is from RefSeq and is a predicted model, not a curated record.